RNAcentral lists this ribosomal RNA (252 nucleotides) under uncultured bacterium. Its description in RNAcentral is "partial 16S ribosomal RNA". It matches the Rfam family "Bacterial small subunit ribosomal RNA", at positions 524 to 776 of the family's 1533-position model. The record is from RNAcentral.
UACAUAGGUGGCGAGCGUUAUCCGGAAUUAUUGGGCGUAAAGGGUACACAGGCUGUUAAAUUAGUCUGAUGUGAAAGACUGGGGCUCAACCCCAGUUUGCAUCGGAAACUGUUUAACUAGAAUGCAGGAGAGAGUAGUGGAAUUUAUUGUGUAGCGGUGGAAUGCAUAAAUAUAAUAAGGAACACCAGUUGCGAAGGCGGCUACUUGAACUGUGAUUGACGCUUAAGUACGAAAGCGUGGGUAGCAAAUAGG